GAUGAACGCUGGCGGCGUGCCUAACACAUGCAAGUGGAGCGACGAACCAGGGCUUGCCCUGGGGCCAAGCCGCGAACGGGUGAGUAACACGUGGGUAACCUGCCCCGAUGACCGGGACAACCCGAGGAAACUCGGGCUAAUACCGGAUGUGGUGUACACACAACAAGUGUGUCUACUAAAGGAAGCUUCGGCCUCCGCAUUGGGAUGGGCCCGCGGCCCAUUAGCUAGUUGGUGGGGUAAAGGCCUACCAAGGCAACGAUGGGUAGCUGGUCUGAGAGGACGAUCAGCCACACUGGGACUGAGACACGGCCCAGGACUCCUACGGGUGGCAGCAGUUUCGAAUCAUUCACAAUGGGCGAAAGCCUGAUGGUGCGACGCCGCGUGAGGGAUGAAGGUCUUCGGAUUGUAAACCUCUGUCACCGGGGAAGAAACGCUUUGAGUUAAUAGUUCAAAGCCUGACUUAACCCGGAGAGGAAGCAGUGGCUAACUCUGUGCCAGCCG
This 501-nucleotide ribosomal RNA is filed under the name uncultured bacterium. RNAcentral describes it as "bacterial SSU rRNA". It matches the Rfam family "Bacterial small subunit ribosomal RNA", at positions 28 to 514 of the family's 1533-position model. The record is from RNAcentral.